AAAAAAAAUUAAGAAAAAAUAAUAAAUUAAGAGAAAUAAAUGUAAAUAUGAAUAUAAAAUCUCACCUAUUGUAGAACUUAUCACACUCGAAACCCAUGCAGGUAGUCCUUCUGUGCUAGAUGUCUCAAAUAAAAGAUCAUUUAUUCAUUUUAGGGAAGAAAUGUUUGCAAUCAUGUACCAUGGAAUGCCCACCCCCUAAACUUUAAUGUGUCAGAAUCAGAAGAAGAAGAC
RNAcentral lists this long non-coding RNA (231 nucleotides) under Mytilus galloprovincialis (Mediterranean mussel). The record is from RNAcentral. Lineage: Eukaryota; Metazoa; Mollusca; Bivalvia; Mytilida; Mytilidae.